This 81-nucleotide transfer RNA is filed under the name Lepilemur ruficaudatus (red-tailed sportive lemur). Its description in RNAcentral is "tRNA-Leu". The record is from RNAcentral. Lineage: Eukaryota; Metazoa; Chordata; Mammalia; Primates; Lepilemuridae.
UAUUAAGAUGGCAGAGCCCCGGCAAUUGCAUAAAAACUUAAGACUUUUAGACCCCAGAGGUUCAACUCCUCUUCUUAAUAU